Molecule: long non-coding RNA, 657 nt
Organism: Jaculus jaculus (lesser Egyptian jerboa)
Lineage: Eukaryota; Metazoa; Chordata; Mammalia; Rodentia; Dipodidae
Exons: 4
Source: RefSeq, a predicted model, not a curated record
CUUCUGAGUCAUCCCAAGGUCCCAGCUAUCUGAAAAGAGAAGGUUCUCUACCAAAGGUAUUUCAGAGAACACAACAUCCCCUGAUGGGCCUGGAAUAGACACAGAUCUUAUAAAUUGGUUGCAACUACAAGGAGUGGAUGCAAAUACAAUCAAAAAGAUUGUUGAAGAGGAUUAUACACUUUCAGAUAUUCUUAAUAACAUCACUAAGGAAGACCUAAGAGGCCUUAGACUACGUGGUGGUGUCCUCUGUAGACUCCGGCAUGCAGUCUCCCAGCACAGAAGACAGGCUCAAGAGUCUUCACAGUGAUAGACGAUUAGGUGUCAUCAGACACUUACGCUGAGGAGUGAGCCAAUACGCUGUUUGUGGUUAAAGCUUCUGUUCAUGACCCCAAAAAUUCCGAGUGUGCACAGAAACACCCUUGCUCAUUUAAUUCAAGCAUUUAAAGACUCUCCUUACUGAUACAGUUUAAAAACAUCUUGCUGUUUAUCAACAUGAUUAAAGAUGUACAGAAUUGUGUGUUAGUGACUGUUUUGAUAUCCCAGCACAUUAGAAAUUAAUGUUUCAUUCAAAGUCACUCUACCUUUUAUCAAUCACUGGGUAUAAGAGGCUGGGAGUUGUUUUAGUGUACGUAGUAAUAAAUAAACAUGAUAAAAAUG